UUAUAUAUACAUGCAAUCCAAGGUGUACAACAAUCCAUAAGUGCAAUAUCAUCACCUCACAACUCUGAAUAGUUAAAAAUAAAUACAACUAUAAGUACAUGACUAAACAAAAGUAAACUAUCUCCAAUAGUGGCACUCCCCUCGCACGACGACCGGGGUAAACAAUGAUCUAACUUGCAACUUCUGUACCUCGAUCAGUAGCAGCAAUAGUAGCAACCGAAGGCUCUGCAAGAGAGAGUGAUAACAAUGGAUGAGGACUACUGUAAAAUAGAGUAGUUCUUAGUGGGUACCGUCACUGAUGCCAACGGCCUACCCACUAAGCUACAAAGUAAAGCUGGUAGGUAAAAAAGCAAAAGUGAAAAGUUGGAAGAAACUUUACAGCUAAUAUGCCACUACACUACUACUACUCAAAUCAUGCUCUCCGUAUAUAUGGAUCACUAGCUAUGACAUUGUCACAACAGACUCAAUCUAAAAGGACCGCCACCAGAAUAGUCCAGCCUAUGCCAACUACUCUGCGCACUACUCGUGGGGGUGGCCGAUCUAAGUAGAAUGCCCAAAAUGGCUGCUGUGACAAAAACUCGAAAAGGCCUCACUCCGAAACGGCACUCGGGGGAGCUACCCAACCGAGUAAAAGAGCGUACUCUGUCAAGCUCAAACAAACUCACGCAGGCUGUAGUUGAUGCAAAUGGUUAGAUGAAUCUAAAAACCAAAGCUCACGUGUCUUUAGCACAAUCUGAUGCAAAAAGAAAGGACUUAGGUCCACCGUUAAUCCAGACGGCACCUGACAAUACGAAACAACCUAAACACUGUUGUAAAUAUCCACUCGGCAUCUCAGCACGAGUAUUAUCUCAAUCUACAUCAAUAUGAGUAUUCGCGACGUAGUAACAGCGGCAAUACAAUUGUAAAAAUAGCUACCGAAGCUAUGUUAUGUUUAUUAGUAAUGAUAUGUCUAAGUGUAAGCUUUCUCCUAAGUCAAUUUUUAAAUUCAACAUGUAAUAAUCAUCUAAAUACUAAAGCACGUGUCCAAAUUUAGAUUUCAUAAUAUAAUAUGCAAAUCUACAAAUUGAGCUACUAAACAUAAUGAUCAACACAUAACUAUGCAUGCUGAAAUUUUCAUGACACUUUAGGAGGAAUUCCAAUGAAUUCGGUAAACUUCAACCCACCUAUAGCAUGCUAAUUCCAUCACGGAUCAAACUGAAACUCCACAGGUACCUUCCCCUAGCUCCAAUUAAAAGGAAAGUGAAGACAAAAUUCAAAAAUCCCUGUCAGAUUUAACGAAAUCAAAAGUUGAAUAAAAUUUCUAACGAAAGUCAAUAAUACAUAUGAAUUCAACUUCGGAAUCAAAUUUACUUAAUUCGGAGCCAAUGUAGGUGCAAUUUAGGCACAGAUUAGUUAGAAUCCCAUAAAACUCACUCACAAGAAAGUUGGAGUCAUAACUCCCAAAAAUGAAACUUCAAGAUCGAUAAUCAACAUUAUGACCAAAAUUACCUAAAUUGAAGCUCAAAUCCUCGCCAACUCAGCUAAAUAACUUGCCCCCCUUACUCCACACAAUGAGUUAGACCAAAAGUAGGUUUCACUUUAUCAGCUCGAAACAUCAAAAUCCAGCAAUUUCACCUUCAAGUUCAGUGGCUACAACUGGAAUGCACUGCGGUAGCUACUGCUGGACUGCACCUUGGUACUGCUAAUUCCUUACUCCACAAGAAAAUCCAAGACAAGAUGAGGUUGGAAGGCAAUUCACGAGUAAUCUUUCACUUCUAUACUACAAGAAAAAUCUAUAAUUCACUACGAAAAUCCAUCACAAAUAAGAAAUAGAGGUCAAGAAUUCAGCUUCGACGUAAAAACUAUUUUUCAGUUUUCGACCUCACUGAAAAUUGAAAUUCUCACUCAUCUUACCUCCAAAUUAGUCCAAACAAGAUUCUAAUCACUAGAGGAUGAAGUCAAGAUCAUUUCCAAUCCUUUGAAAGCUCAGCUCCCAGAAGAAAUUCAAAUGCAUUUUAUGAAAAUCUAGAGUUAACUCAAUUCACCCCAAAAAUCAGUAUUUAGCAUCGUCUUCAAUUAACUUCAAAAUUGGAGCUAUUAAUUUGACUUUUAGCUCAAGGAAGGUACGAACAGUAUCCCAACAUCCCCCUACACAAAUUUAUGCCUUCAAUUUUGAAAUUGGAGCAUCAAAACACCUCCAAUAAAGCUCCCUUUUCCCUAGUAACAGUGCUGCCAGUCUGCUGGCAGCUUGCUGCUGAGUUGUUGUUGGUGUGGUUGCUAGCUGUUGGCACGCCAAAACAACAUGCAAAAUACUAAGACAGAAAGGGAGAGUUACAAGGUUAUUUAGCUCAUUGAAGAUGGAAUUUCACACCAUAUCAACCCUUAAUUUAGCUCAACCGAACUCUCCUCCUGUCCUAGAUGAAGGUAAGCUUGUCUCCAACUCUUCUAAAACUCAGCUACAGGGGUUGAUUAAAAGAAAAUCCAUCAACUCCAAGAACUAGUCCAAAAUCAACCUAUCUUAGCCCUAAUUCAAAAUUGGAUCUAAUUACUCGAAAAUUUGGAGAUGAAAAGGAAGUGUGAGCUGAGUUGUAACACUUCCUUCUCCUACCAAAGCACUCAACCUUCAAAUUUGGAGGACUUAUAAUCAAUGGAGCUUCCCAAUUGGAGCUACAGCUGCUGUCAUCUUUCUGCUGCUACUGUAAUUUUGCUGGCAGCAAGACUGCUGCUGGAGAGGUCCUAGCAACCAGCAGAGAUGAAAAGGAAGAAGAAGGAGGCGAUGGAGAAGUGGCUGCUAGUAUUGCUUGCUCUAGCACGCAGAGAAAGAGAGGUAGAAGAAGUGUCCACUUCUGCUGCUGGUGUUCCCUUUUGCUGCUGCUAGUGGGCUGCUACUACUGCUGGUCUUGAUGUCCAGCGCAGGGAGAGAAGGCAGCAGGGAGAUGGUGGGAAGAAAGAGAAGAAAAUAGAAGAGAAGAUGAGG
This 2956-nucleotide long non-coding RNA is filed under the name Ananas comosus (pineapple). RNAcentral describes it as "long non-coding RNA (ACOM_LNC017663)". The record is from RNAcentral. Lineage: Eukaryota; Viridiplantae; Streptophyta; Magnoliopsida; Poales; Bromeliaceae.